ACAUGCAGAGAACUUCCAGAGAUGGAUUGGUGGCCUUCGGGAACUCUGACACAGGUGCUGCAUGGCUGUCGUCAGCUCGUGCCGUGAGAUAGUUGGGUUAAGUCCCGUAACGAGCGCAACCCUUGUCCUUAGUUACCAGCACGUUAUGGUGGGCACUCUAAGGAGACUGCCGGUGACAAACCGGAGGAAGGUGGGGAUGACGUCAAGUCAUCAUGGCCCUUACGGCCUGGGCUACACACGUGCUACAAUGGUCGGUACAAAGGGUUGCCAAGCCGCGAGGUGGAGCUAAUCCCAUAAAACCGAUCGUAGUCCGGAUCGCAGUCUGCAACUCGACUGCGUGAAGUCGGAAUCGCUAGUAAUCGUGAAUCAGAAUGUCACGGUGAAUACGUUCCCGGGCCUU
This 400-nucleotide ribosomal RNA is filed under the name uncultured Pseudomonas sp. RNAcentral describes it as "bacterial SSU rRNA". It matches the Rfam family "Bacterial small subunit ribosomal RNA", at positions 984 to 1382 of the family's 1533-position model. The record is from RNAcentral. Lineage: Bacteria; Pseudomonadati; Pseudomonadota; Gammaproteobacteria; Pseudomonadales; Pseudomonadaceae.